Molecule: ribosomal RNA, 113 nt
Filed under: Candidatus Microgenomates bacterium
Lineage: Bacteria; Candidatus Microgenomatota
Source: RNAcentral
GCUGGUUCUUAAAGCGAGGUGGAACGACUCGAUCUCAUUCCGAACUCGGUUGUCAAACGCCUCAGCACCUACGAUACUAUCCCUCGGGAUGGGAAAAUAGGUCAGAGCCAGCA